RNAcentral lists this ribosomal RNA (477 nucleotides) under Proteus mirabilis. RNAcentral's name for it is "bacterial SSU rRNA". It matches the Rfam family "Bacterial small subunit ribosomal RNA", at positions 37 to 509 of the family's 1533-position model. Lineage: Bacteria; Pseudomonadati; Pseudomonadota; Gammaproteobacteria; Enterobacterales; Morganellaceae. The record is from RNAcentral.
UCUUCGCAGCUACACAUGCAGUCGAGCGGUACAGGAGAAGCUUGCUUUCUUGCUGACGAGCGGCGGACGGGUGAGUAAUGUAUGGGGAUCUGCCCGAUAGAGGGGGAUAACUACUGGAAACGGUGGCUAAUACCGCAUAAUGUCUACGGACCAAAGCAGGGGCUCUUCGGACCUUGCACUAUCGGAUGAACCCAUAUGGGAUUAGCUAGUAGGUGGGGUAAAGGCUCACCUAGGCGACGAUCUCUAGCUGGUCUGAGAGGAUGAUCAGCCACACUGGGACUGAGACACGGCCCAGACUCCUACGGGAGGCAGCAGUGGGGAAUAUUGCACAAUGGGCGCAAGCCUGAUGCAGCCAUGCCGCGUGUAUGAAGAAGGCCUUAGGGUUGUAAAGUACUUUCAGCGGGGAGGAAGGUGAUAAGGUUAAUACCCUUAUCAAUUGACGUUACCCGCAGAAGAAGCACCGGCUAACUCCGUGCC